RNAcentral lists this small RNA (1667 nucleotides) under Pan troglodytes (chimpanzee). Its description in RNAcentral is "processed transcript". The record is from RNAcentral. Lineage: Eukaryota; Metazoa; Chordata; Mammalia; Primates; Hominidae.
UCUUCCUACUCCAGUAAGGUUGCUCAUGUUUGUGAUGCAGGUUACGUCGCUGGAUUUGUAGACUUGGAGGUGAGCAACAGACCAGACCUCUAUGAUGUGUUUGUGAAUCUGGCAGAGAGUGAGAUUACCAUUGCUCCCCUUGCAAAAGAGGCCAUGGCAAUGGGCAAACUGCACAAAGAAAUGGGUCAGCUAAUUGUUCAGUCUGCAGAAGAUCCAGAGAAAUCAGAGAGCCAGGUUAUACAGGUAACUCCGUCACCUUCUGACUUACUGAAAGUCCUGACGUGGUGUUGCUGGGUGGUGUGUGGCAGAGCUGUGCACAUAAGCAGAGUGGGGGGCUGUGGUAGAGGCCAGCGGGCAGGUGCUUAGAGAGGGUUUACAGACGGCCACAGCGAUGAUGGACAAGCAGGUGCAGGCUGGCCUGAUCUAGUUAGUUACUGGGCUCGAGGGCAGGUAUACAGAGGGGCUGGUGCUGACACUGACCGCUGGCAAUGAGAAAUGUAACUACCAAGUGGUCUGGAAGGCUUUUCUGGGCCAGCCAGUGCAUUCUUUCUUCCUAGGAGAAUUUCCCUGGAGGAACAAAUUAUAAAGGGGAGGUUGUUGCUGAGCAUGGGGAACUAGAUUGUCAAAAUUUCGCUUUGCUUGUCUCCAGGACAACAGAAAUCAUGCAGUCAGACUCCUGUCCCACUUAGUGACUGUUGCCACAUGCCGCAGAGCCAGCUCCUUGCUGGCGUCUACCUGGCAUGCUGACCAGCGUCCAUGUGGCCCAGUGGGCACCUGCUCUGCCCUUGCCAAACUGGGAUGGCAAAUGGGUUUUAUUUCUUGUGCUUUCCACAUGGUGGCCUGCAGCCCGCCCAGCUCCUUGCAUUUGGCCUGUUCACAGCUCCUUGCUCCUCUCCUGAAGGAUACACUUCCAGCGUUGCCUUAUCUAGAUGCCUGACUCAUAACCUGGGGCUGGAGGGCCCAGAAGGACUGUCUCCCAUCUGCACCUGUCCUACCUGGGGGUACGGGGGCACCUCUGAUAUGCAGGCUUUACUCAUUCGGCCCAACCUGGUGCCUUCUUCAUUUAUCCAUUCAUUUACUCAGUGUUUCUUGAGCUCUGUUUGUUAGGCAUUGCACUGGCAGUGGGGAUGCAGUGGUGAGCAAAUCCCUGCCCUCAUGGAGUCUGUAAUUUAGUGGAGUAGAUGCACAGAAAAUAAUAAAUGACAAGAUAAUUACAGCCCAUGUUAGGUGCUGUGACAGAAGGGGUUGAGGUGGAGAAUAUUGGGGGAUGGGUAGGCCAGAUCUCUAAGGAGGUGACAUGUCAGCAGAAAGAUGAGAGGGGCCAUUUCUCUGCAGUGCUGGUGGCCUGGCCAGCUGUGAGCAGGAAGAGUGGGCUGAUCUUGCCCUGAGGACCUGAACACUGGAGACUCUGGGGCCGCUUCUUUCCUACCAUGGGAAUCCUCACUGCCCACCUACCCCCAGCAUUAGAGUAAAGACAUAUUCUUACAAUAUCGGCAACAUAUGCGAAUCUGAGUUUUGCAUUACUGUGUUGUUCACAGACUAAAAGUGCUACCUAGAUGACUUAGUAUGACGUAUGAGACCUUGGGGAGGGCAAGUGAAAGUGCUGGGAAUGCUCUAAGAGUUCAAAAAUACAUGAAUGAAUUAAUGAUGUCAGCAAACAAGGAAGA